This 142-nucleotide ribosomal RNA is filed under the name Calidris pygmaea (Spoon-billed sandpiper). RNAcentral describes it as "5.8S ribosomal RNA (ENSCPGG00000013063.1)". The stretch from base 16 to 142 matches the Rfam family "5.8S ribosomal RNA", at positions 21 to 154 of the family's 154-position model. Rfam says of the family: 5.8S ribosomal RNA (5.8S rRNA) is a component of the large subunit of the eukaryotic ribosome. It is transcribed by RNA polymerase I as part of the 45S precursor that also contains 18S and 28S rRNA. Lineage: Eukaryota; Metazoa; Chordata; Aves; Charadriiformes; Scolopacidae. The record is from Rfam by way of RNAcentral.
AGGCUUCUGCGACAAUCGGUUCAUGUGUCAAAGAACGCAGCUAACUGCGAGAAUCAAUGUGAAUUGUAGGACAUAUUGAUCAUCACUUUGAACACCCUUGCAGCCCCAGGUUCCUGCUGGAGCUUUAUUUCAAAAAAUUUGG